This 790-nucleotide ribosomal RNA is filed under the name uncultured bacterium. RNAcentral describes it as "bacterial SSU rRNA". It matches the Rfam family "Bacterial small subunit ribosomal RNA", at positions 8 to 796 of the family's 1533-position model. The record is from RNAcentral.
AGAGUUUGAUCCUGGCUCAGAACGAACGUUGGCGGCGUGGAUUAGGCAUGCAAGUCGCACGAAUCCUAGCUUUGUAGCAAUACCGAGCUGGGGAAAGUGGCGAAAGGGGCAGUAAGGCGUGGGUAACUUACCCCGGAGUUCGGAAUAGCCUUCCUAACGGAUGGGUAAUACCGAAUGUCGUGACGAGGGGGCCUCCUCUUAUCACGAAAGCUCUGGCGCUUCGGGAGAGGCCCACGUGGUAUUAGCUAGUUGGUGAGGUAACGGCUCACCAAGGCCAAGAUGCCUAGCAGGUGUGAGAGCACGACCUGCGCCACUGGCACUGGGACACUGGCCAGACUCCUACGGGAGGCUGCAGUCGAGGAUCUUCGGCAAUGGGCGCAAGCCUGACCGAGCGACGCCGCGUGGGCGAUGAAGGCCUUCGGGUUGUAAAGCCCUGUCGAGGGGGAGAAAAGCUCGCAAGAGUUUGAUCGACCUCUGGAGGAAGCACGGGCUAAGUUCGUGCCAGCAGCCGCGGUAAGACGAACCGUGCAAACGUUGUUCGGAAUCACUGGGCUUAAAGGGCGCGUAGGCGGGGCUGCAAGUCAGGGGUGAAAUCCCACGGCUCAACCGUGGAAGUGCCUUUGAUACUGCAGUUCUCGAGGGAGGUAGGGGCGUGCGGAACUUCCGGUGGAGCGGUGAAAUGCGUAGAUAUCGGAAGGAACACCGGUGGCGAAAGCGGCGCGCUGGACCUCUUCUGACGCUGAGGCGCGAAAGCCAGGGGAGCAAACGGGAUUAGAUACCCUAGUAGUCC